RNAcentral lists this ribosomal RNA (254 nucleotides) under uncultured bacterium. Its description in RNAcentral is "partial 16S ribosomal RNA". It matches the Rfam family "Bacterial small subunit ribosomal RNA", at positions 524 to 776 of the family's 1533-position model. The record is from RNAcentral.
UACGAGGGGGGGCGAGCGUUGUUCGGAAUUAUUGGGCGUAAAGGGUGCGUAGGCGGUUUGGUAAGUCUCUUGUGAAAUCUCUGGGCUCAACUCAGAGUCUGCAAGGGAAACUGCCGGGCUUGAGUAUGGGAGAGGUGAGUGGAAUUCCUGGUGUAGCGGUGAAAUGCGUAGAUAUCAGGAGGAAUACCUGUGGCGAAAGCGGCUCACUGGACCAUAACUGACGCUGAUGCACGAAAGCUAGGGGAGCAAACAGG